UACGUAGGGGGCAAGCGUUAUCCGGAUUUACUGGGUGUAAAGGGAGCGUAGACGGCUUUGCAAGCCAGAUGUGAAAGCCCGGGGCUCAACCCCGGGACUGCAUUUGGAACUGUGUGGCUAGAGUGUCGGAGAGGCAGGCGGAAUUCCUAGUGUAGCGGUGAAAUGCGUAGAUAUUAGGAGGAACACCAGUGGCGAAGGCGGCCUGCUGGACGAUGACUGACGUUGAGGCUCGAAGGCGUGGGGAGCAAACAGG
This 253-nucleotide ribosomal RNA is filed under the name uncultured bacterium. RNAcentral describes it as "partial 16S ribosomal RNA". It matches the Rfam family "Bacterial small subunit ribosomal RNA", at positions 524 to 776 of the family's 1533-position model. The record is from RNAcentral.